RNAcentral lists this unclassified non-coding RNA (644 nucleotides) under Hevea brasiliensis (rubber tree). Lineage: Eukaryota; Viridiplantae; Streptophyta; Magnoliopsida; Malpighiales; Euphorbiaceae. The record is from RNAcentral.
UAAAGUCAUUGGACGGUGACGGUAACCAUACUCACCUAAAAUUUGAAACUGAGGAAGAUUAGAUUAGACCGUCCAGAAGGUAAAAGGUAAAGAAAUAAUAUUACUAUCAAACAAAGGGGUUUGAAACAAAAAUUACAACCUAUUUCCAAGUUCCAUCACAUAGGUAAAAGGUAAUUUUAAAACCUUACAGCCUUGUAUAAUCCCCCCAUUCCAAAAGCUUAUAUCCCAGAUAAGCUAGAACAUUAUUAAAACUAGUCUAGCAACUUCACAUUACACUGCAACUAUUGGCAUUUUCAUCACUGAAGAAGUGAGUGUAGGGAUCAGCCAUUGGAUGUGGUGGCAUUGGCGGCAGCGGCAUGUAAUUAACAGCUGGUUGCGGUCUGGCAUACAUCAUUGGUUGAAACAUAUCAUUCCCAUUUUGCCUCUGCUGAUUCAUCAUCAUUGCCAUAUAUUGUUGAUUGUAAGGGUUGCCUCCUCCCAUCAUCCCUUGAUAAUAACCACCAUUCAUGGCUGCUGGUGGUGCAGGCAGUCCUUGCACUGCAGGAAAAUUACCCAUUGGGCGCAUCUGGGCCAUCUGACCCAUCUGGCCUAUCUGGCUCAUCUGACCCAUCUGGCCCAUCUGGCUCAUCUGACCCAUCUGGCCC